Long non-coding RNA from Mus caroli (Ryukyu mouse), 413 nucleotides. RefSeq lists it as uncharacterized. Lineage: Eukaryota; Metazoa; Chordata; Mammalia; Rodentia; Muridae. The record is from RefSeq and is a predicted model, not a curated record.
AGCCUCGCCGAGGGCCCCUCCCCUUCCCGCAGCUCCCGCGCCAGCACCAGGGAGCGGGUGCCGGAGCUGGGGAUGCUCGACCGGUUACCAAAUUCGGAACCUGGCCUGACUUGGUUGUCACUGCUCUAGCUAAAUCCCUGGCUGUGCCUGCUGCAAUCGAGUCUGUCACUUUUCCUGACUUGGAUACUACAGAAACCACCAUAGCAAUGAAAACAAGAGUCCAGGUAUCUGGGUCAGAGACUGUGGGAUGUCCAGAUGGCCUGAGAACAGAGUCUGAACCAGGGGUCCCUGCACCCCACUAGGAAAGAGCCCCUGAGCCGGAGUCUUGCUGGUGAGAGACAUUUGGGGGAAGCCUGAAUAGGGUGGAUGUCAGCUGAAGGAAGCUGUGCCUGGCAUCAGGUAGCUCCUAAGGA